Molecule: microRNA, 21 nt
Filed under: Patiria miniata (bat star)
Lineage: Eukaryota; Metazoa; Echinodermata; Asteroidea; Valvatida; Asterinidae
Description: Pmi-Mir-2010_5p* (star (passenger))
Source: RNAcentral
GGGCUGCCUUCUUCAGUACUU